AAUUAUUUUGAUAUUUUUUCAUCACAAAAUGUUUCAUCUUCUAAUGAACUCCUAUGUUGUGGUGAAGUCCUUAGGACUAUUUAGACUCGACAAAGGAGGAUUUGUCAUUUAGUCCUUAAAUCUGUUUGCGACCAAAUGAUACGUUGUUACCAAGGACGACAACGUUUAUCAAGCAUAGGUCGUUGUGUGUCAUAUAGGUUGGUUGUCCUCUUAA
RNAcentral lists this long non-coding RNA (214 nucleotides) under Elaeis guineensis (African oil palm). Its description in RNAcentral is "long non-coding RNA (EGUI_LNC046919)". The record is from RNAcentral. Lineage: Eukaryota; Viridiplantae; Streptophyta; Magnoliopsida; Arecales; Arecaceae.